UUUAUAGCCUAGGGGUCCAUGACAAAAGACCAUGGCUACUCUUGAGGGAGAGAGAAAGUGAGGGUAAGGUGGUAAAUUCAUCCCUAGAGCUUUCUUGGUCCCUACUCUAGCUCCUUUGACCAUGGCAUGGGGGCCUUGACCCUUUGACUCCUUUGACCGGCGCUUAGUUGGCAUGGCUAUGCUUUGUUGACGAUUUGACCGGUCUUUGAGGUUUGUUGACUUGGUCGUCGCCACGUAGGAUUAUGGCCCGGCCCAUGUAAGGAAUUUAUUAUAUUACGAUAGUAGCCCCCUUGAGCCAGAGGCAUUGGGAAUGCCUUCGGGUCAACUUCAACGUCGACAGUGUACCAAGAUUCUUCAUCCGAUACUUUAUGGCGUAGCUCUCCUUUGGGCGAGCCACCGGCUAGGUAGGUUUUGCGAAGAAACUGGGCCUAGGUGGGCUGCCUUGUGAGAUACUCGUGGUUUAGGGGGUGUCCUUCGAGACGUUGCGUUGGGGGAGCCACCGGCUAGGUGAUCUUUCUCGAGGAGGAAGAUAGACCUAGGUGGGCUUGGCAUGUCCCAAGGGCUUCUGGGAUUCUUCCUUCGGGACCUUCCUUCUGAAAAGUCAAGGCCACGAAGGCUUUUCUCGCAAAAUUUGGGCGUUGGGCGACUCCUUUUGCAAGAUAAUGGAGCUGCAGGGGAUUUUUCGUGAAUUUAUUGCCUUCUGAGGGUUCCGGCAUGAAAUUCCCAAGCCACCAGGGGGAAGCUUGAGAUUUUCCUCGUCCUGGGGGGCUUUCCUGUAAAAAAAUCCUCCCCCGGGCCGCCCAAUCGUGCACAGGAGCAUUCCUGGGCCGCGCUCGGCUUAAUGGGCCUCCCGGGCGACCGGGCCUGGGAGGCUUCCUCCUGUUUUUCUUAUUUUUUAUUUUUUAUUUUUUUUAUCCACGCUCGUUACUGGGCCAAGGCCCACUUCGCAGCUCAGCCCGCAUAAUGGUUCGCUGGCUUAAGUAAGGAGAUCGGACGGAGGAGGUUGCUCCCGAACCCUACAUUCGACGGCUGCUGCGCGUCUUCUUCGUUCGUACAGGGCGAGAAAGGAGGCCGUCCUCCUUUCCCCUUUCGUCGAGGAGUUUGGUCAUCACGGCUGUGAAGGGGCGCGUAGAGAUAAACAAAAACUUUUCCUACGCGAACUCCCAAGAUCUAGCCGAGGUAGAAGGCCACGAGGAUUACAACUAGACACGCAGUUGCGGAUUAUCGAUGCGGCGCCUUGAUGCAGUGCAGUCCCUCGAUCCGAUCCAGCCGAUCCGAUCCCGCGAUCGUCGAAGUGCUGAACGUACAGCACCUCUGCCGGUAUCCACACGUGCGAGGAGGAGCUCCGGCGGCGGACUGCUAGGUCCGGUGCGACGGUUGGACUGAAUGGGGCUAGGGUUCUCAACGCAUGAGAGUGGAAAAACCGUGCCCCUUAGGCAUCCCACGCCCCUACUUAUAUACCGAGUGGAAGUGGGCUCCAUCCACUCUGCGAGUCCAACUCGCAUUGUCAGCCCAAUUCCGGUUCGGGUCCAACCUGACCAAAUACUUGCUCCCGCUCUUAAGUGUAUGACCCCGCAGGCUCAUGGCGACUUGGACACGAUUGGAGUCCGACUCUCAAUCGAUCAAUCGGUAGCGGCUCCUAGCAGAACGUGCCGACUCCCAAGUACCAUCGAGUCAUGACGACGUACGUUCCAAUGUGACAUAUGUCUUAGUCCCU
RNAcentral lists this long non-coding RNA (1717 nucleotides) under Brachypodium distachyon (stiff brome). Its description in RNAcentral is "long non-coding RNA (BDIS_LNC003254)". Lineage: Eukaryota; Viridiplantae; Streptophyta; Magnoliopsida; Poales; Poaceae. The record is from RNAcentral.